This 253-nucleotide ribosomal RNA is filed under the name uncultured bacterium. RNAcentral's name for it is "partial 16S ribosomal RNA". It matches the Rfam family "Bacterial small subunit ribosomal RNA", at positions 524 to 776 of the family's 1533-position model. RNAcentral also lists the same sequence under 1 other name. The record is from RNAcentral.
UACGGAGGGUGCAAGCGUUGUCCGGAUUUAUUGGGUUUAAAGGGUGCGUAGGCGGCCCGUUAAGUCAGCGGUGAAAUCCCGGGGCUCAACCCCGGAACUGCCGUUGAUACUGGCGGGCUUGAGUUCGGUCGAGGCGGGCGGAACUGGUGGUGUAGCGGUGAAAUGCAUAGAUACCACCAAGAACCCCGAUUGCGAAGGCAGCUCGCUGGGCCGAAACUGACGCUGAGGCACGAAAGCGUGGGGAGCGAACAGG